GGACGAUUAGCUCAGUUGGCUAGAGCACUACAUUCACAUUGUAGGGGUCGAUGGUUCGAGUCCAUCAUCGUCCA
Molecule: transfer RNA, 74 nt
Filed under: Candidatus Dojkabacteria bacterium
Lineage: Bacteria
Description: tRNA-Val
Rfam family: tRNA
About the family: Transfer RNA (tRNA) molecules are approximately 80 nucleotides in length.
Source: RNAcentral